Molecule: ribosomal RNA, 274 nt
Filed under: uncultured prokaryote
Description: partial 16S ribosomal RNA
Rfam family: Bacterial small subunit ribosomal RNA
Source: RNAcentral
UACGGAGGAUCCGAGCGUUAUCCGGAUUUAUUGGGUUUAAAGGGUGCGCAGGCGGGAGAUUAAGUCGGCGGUGAAAUUUUGCAGCUCAACUGUAAAAGUGCCUUCGAAACUGGUUUCCUUGAGUGUAGAUGAAGUAGGCGGAAUUUGUGGUGUAGCGGUGAAAUGCAUAGAUAUCACGAGGAACUCCGAUUGCGCAGGCAGCUUACUAAACUACUACUGACGCUCAGGCACGAAGGCGUGGGGAGUCAAACAGGAUUAGAUACCCCGGUACGGU